Frieseomelitta varia is the source of this 427-nucleotide long non-coding RNA. RefSeq lists it as uncharacterized. The transcript is spliced from 3 exons. Lineage: Eukaryota; Metazoa; Arthropoda; Insecta; Hymenoptera; Apidae. The record is from RefSeq and is a predicted model, not a curated record.
GAAUACGUUGCUUGACAGAAUGUUGCCUUCCGUGCCAGAACUGCCACGCCUUAAUCUCGUCUUCUGGGCUCUUCUCUUCUCGGAACAUCAACAUUACCACGCUCUGCGCGACAAAACAUCAAGAAAACACCCAACGGAUUAAACAACUUUUUCGCCGCUACAUUUUGCUAACACCAGCCUGUUGCUUUAUUACAGCCAGUAAUUUCAUAUAGCAAACUCAGGUGGGCAAACGAGGCAAAACCACUGGUCUAUUUGCAACAAACACUUGAUAUUCAGAGAUCUAAAUAAGUGUGGAGCUGAUGGUAAUGAUGAUCAGGUGGACUUGUAUUGAGAUAGAAAGUGACAAUUAUAAACGAUCGGAGAAAUAAAUAUGUAGAAAACAUUCGAGCGAAAUUCUACGAUAAAGAUAUGUAUUUAUUCCAUUCUU